AUGAUAAUGACAGUACCUGGUAAAGAAACCCCGGCUAACUCCGUGCCAGCAGCCGCGGUAAUACGGAGGGGGUUAGCGUUGUUCGGAAUUACUGGGCGUAAAGCGCGCGUAGGCGGAUUGGAAAGUCGGGGGUGAAAUCCCGGGGCUCAACCCUGGAACUGCCUUUGAAACUGUCAGUCUAGAGUUCGAGAGAGGUGAGUGGAAUUCCGAGUGUAGAGGUGAAAUUCGUAGAUAUUCGGAGGAAACACCAGUGGCGAAGGCGGCUCACUGGCUCGAUACUGACGCUGUAGGUGCGAAAGUGUGGGGAGCAAACAGGAUUAGAUACCCUGGUAGUCCAC
This 338-nucleotide ribosomal RNA is filed under the name Sagittula stellata. RNAcentral's name for it is "bacterial SSU rRNA". It matches the Rfam family "Bacterial small subunit ribosomal RNA", at positions 463 to 798 of the family's 1533-position model. Lineage: Bacteria; Pseudomonadati; Pseudomonadota; Alphaproteobacteria; Rhodobacterales; Roseobacteraceae. The record is from RNAcentral.